This 75-nucleotide transfer RNA is filed under the name bacterium. RNAcentral's name for it is "tRNA-Thr". It matches the Rfam family "tRNA". Rfam says of the family: Transfer RNA (tRNA) molecules are approximately 80 nucleotides in length. Their secondary structure includes four short double-helical elements and three loops (D, anti-codon, and T loops). RNAcentral also lists the same sequence under 1 other name. The record is from RNAcentral.
GCCGAGAUAGCUCAGUGGUAGAGCAGCUCACUUGUAAUGAGCAGGUCCCGGGUUCAAAUCCCGGUCUCGGCUCCA